CCCCUAGUAACUGCGAGUGAAGCGGGAAAAGCUCAAAUUUAAAAUCUGGCAGUCUUUGGCUGUCCGAGUUGUAGUCUGGAGAAGUGCUUUCCGCGCUGGACCGUGUACAAGUCUCUUGGAACAGAGCGUCGUAGAGGGUGAGAAUCCCGUCUUUGACACGGACUACCAGUGCUUUGUGAUGCGCUCUCAAAGAGUCGAGUUGUUUGGGAAUGCAGCUCAAAAUGGGUGGUAAAUUCCAUCUAAAGCUAAAUAUUGGCGAGAGACCGAUAGCGAACAAGUACCGUGAGGGAAAGAUGAAAAGCACUUUGGAAAGAGAGUUAAACAGUACGUGAAAUUGCUGAAAGGGAAACGCUUGAAGUCAGUCGCGUUGGCCAGGACUCAGCCUUGCUUUUUUGCUUGGUGCAUUUUCUGGUUGACGGGCCAGCAUCGAUUUUGACUGUUGGAAAAAGGCUGGGGGAAUGUGGCACCUUCGGGUGUGUUAUAGCUCUCAGUCACAUACGGCAGUUGGGAUCGAGGACCGCAGCACGCCUUUAUGGCCGGGGUUCGCCCACGUUCGUGCUUAGGAUGCUGGCGUAAUGGCUUUAAACGACCCGUCUUGAAACACGGACCAAGGAGUCUAACAUGCCUGCGAGUGUUUGGGUGGAAAACCCGAGCGCGUAAUGAAAGUGAAAGUUGAGAUCCCUGUCGUGGGGAGCAUCGACGCCCGGACCUGAACUUCGGUGAUGGCUCUGCGGUAGAGCAUGUAUGUUGGGACCCGAAAGAUGGUGAACUAUGCCUGAAUAGGGUGAAGCCAGAGGAAACUCUGGUGGAGGCUCGUAGCGAUUCUGACGUGCAAAUCGAUCGUCAAAUUUGGGUAUAGGGGCGAAAGACUAAUCGAACCAUC
RNAcentral lists this ribosomal RNA (883 nucleotides) under Brunneoporus cyclopis. RNAcentral describes it as "partial large subunit ribosomal RNA". It matches the Rfam family "Eukaryotic large subunit ribosomal RNA", at positions 77 to 944 of the family's 3401-position model. Lineage: Eukaryota; Fungi; Basidiomycota; Agaricomycetes; Polyporales; Fomitopsidaceae. The record is from RNAcentral.